Molecule: ribosomal RNA, 468 nt
Filed under: uncultured bacterium
Lineage: Bacteria
Description: partial 16S ribosomal RNA
Rfam family: Bacterial small subunit ribosomal RNA
Source: RNAcentral
GACGAACGCUGGCGGCGUGCUUAACACAUGCAAGUCGAACGGAAAGGCCCUGCUUUUGUGGGGUGCUCGAGUGGCGAACGGGUGAGUAACACGUGAGUAACCUGCCCUUGACUUUGGGAUAACUUCAGGAAACUGGGGCUAAUACCGGAUAGGAGCUCCUGCUGCAUGGUGGGGGUUGGAAAGUUUCGGCGGUUGGGGAUGGACUCGCGGCUUAUCAGCUUGUUGGUGGGGUAGUGGCUUACCAAGGCUUUGACGGGUAGCCGGCCUGAGAGGGUGACCGGCCACAUUGGGCCUGAGAUACGGCCCAGACUCCUACGGGAGGCAGCAGUGGGGAAUAUUGCCCAAUCGGCGGAAGCCUGAUGCAGCAACGCCGCGUGCGGGAUGACGGCCUUCGGGUUGUAAACCGCUUUCGCCUGUGACGAAGCGUGAGUGACGGUAAUGGGUAAAGAAGCACCGGCUAACUACGUG